AUUGAACGCUGGCGGCAGGCAUAACACAUGCAAGUCGAGCGGAGCGGUGGCAGGGUGUGUAAUGCCUAGGAAUCUGCCCGGUAGUGGGGGAUAACGUCCGGAAACGGACGCCAAUUCCGCAUACUUUCUGCAGGGUUUAUGUCGGCUUAGCUAGUUGGUGGGGUAAAGGCCUACCAAGGCGACGAUCCGUAACUGGUCUGAGAGGAUGAUCAGUCACACUGGAACUGAGACACGGUCCAGACUCCUACGGGAGGCAGCAGUGGGGAAUAUUGGACAAUGGGCGAAAGCCUGAUCCAGCCAUGCCGCGUGUGUGAAGAAGGUCUUCGGAUUGUAAAGCACUUUAAGUUGGGAGGCGUUACCAACAGAAUAAGCACCGGCUAACUUCGUGCCAGCAGCCGCGGUAAUAC
RNAcentral lists this ribosomal RNA (407 nucleotides) under uncultured bacterium. RNAcentral's name for it is "partial 16S ribosomal RNA". It matches the Rfam family "Bacterial small subunit ribosomal RNA", at positions 30 to 526 of the family's 1533-position model. The record is from RNAcentral.